Molecule: transfer RNA, 76 nt
Filed under: Candidatus Roizmanbacteria bacterium CG03_land_8_20_14_0_80_39_12
Lineage: Bacteria; Candidatus Roizmaniibacteriota
Description: tRNA-Lys
Rfam family: tRNA
About the family: Transfer RNA (tRNA) molecules are approximately 80 nucleotides in length. Their secondary structure includes four short double-helical elements and three loops (D, anti-codon, and T loops). Further hydrogen bonds mediate the characteristic L-shaped molecular structure. tRNAs have two regions of fundamental functional importance: the anti-codon, which is responsible for specific mRNA codon recognition, and the 3' end, to which the tRNAs corresponding amino acid is attached (by aminoacyl-tRNA synthetases). tRNAs cope with the degeneracy of the genetic code in two manners: having more than one tRNA (with a specific anti-codon) for a particular amino acid; and 'wobble' base-pairing, i.e. permitting non-standard base-pairing at the 3rd anti-codon position.
Source: RNAcentral
GGGCCGCUAGCUCAAUUGGUAGAGCAUCUCCCUCUUAAGGAGGUGGUUCCGAGUUCGAGUCUCGGGCGGCUCACCC